GUCCUAGCCCUAAACGAUGGAUGCUUGGUGUAGCGGGUACCCAAUCCCACUGUGCCGGAGCUAACGCGUUAAGCAUCCCGCAGUGGGGAGUACGGUCGCAAGGCUAGAAACUACAAAAGGAAUUGGACGGGGGCCCCGCACAAGCGGUGGAGCAUGUGGUUCAAUUCGACGCAACGCGAAGUAACCUUACCUGGGCUCGAAGCGCAGUGGAUAGGAGUGGAAACCUCUUUCCCGCAAGGGCUGCUGCGUAGGUGCUGCAUGGCUGUCGU
This 269-nucleotide ribosomal RNA is filed under the name uncultured bacterium. Its description in RNAcentral is "partial 16S ribosomal RNA". It matches the Rfam family "Bacterial small subunit ribosomal RNA", at positions 793 to 1055 of the family's 1533-position model. The record is from RNAcentral.